This 269-nucleotide ribosomal RNA is filed under the name uncultured bacterium. RNAcentral describes it as "partial 16S ribosomal RNA". It matches the Rfam family "Bacterial small subunit ribosomal RNA", at positions 86 to 354 of the family's 1533-position model. The record is from RNAcentral.
UGCCGGCGACCGGCGGACGGGUGCGUAACGCGUAUGUAACCUACCUUUGACAGGGGGAUAACAUCGAGAAAUUGGUACUAAUACCCCGUAACAUCACCGGAGGCAUCUUCGGUGGUUGAAAACUCAGGUGGUCAGAGAUGGACAUGCGUUGUAUUAGCUAGUUGGUGAGGUAACGGCUCACCAAGGCGACGAUACAUAGGGGGACGUGAGAGGUCAACCCCCCCACAUUGGUACUGAGACACGGACCAAACUCCUACGGAAGGCAGCAG